Trichomycterus rosablanca is the source of this 230-nucleotide long non-coding RNA. RefSeq lists it as uncharacterized. Lineage: Eukaryota; Metazoa; Chordata; Actinopteri; Siluriformes; Trichomycteridae. The record is from RefSeq and is a predicted model, not a curated record. The transcript has 3 exons.
CAGGAGUUUUGAGUCGAGUAAAGGUUUCAUCAUCACUGAAAUAAUCUGGUUUUUCCACAGCUUGUUUGGGGCAGCAUUGUGUUUCAGCAUCACUGGAAGAAUGAGGCUGACUGAAAUGAACAGAUCUUUCCCCAACACUGGAGAAGUCCUGAGAUCCUCUGUUAUUUAAGCUCUUUAUUUUUUGCCCUAGUAAAGGAAAUAAAACACACCAACUAACCAUAAUAACAGUU